UACAGAGGUGGCAAGCGUUGUUCGGAAUUACUGGGCGUAAAGGGCGCGUAGGCGGCCUUCUAAGUCAGACGUGAAAUCCCCCGGCUUAACCUGGGAACUGCAUCCGAAACUGCCUUGCUCGAGUAUGGGAGAGGGAAGUGGAAUUUCCGGUGUAGCGGUGAAAUGCGUAGAUAUCGGAAGGAACAUCAGUGGCGAAGGCGACUUCCUGGACCAAUACUGACGCUCAGGUGCGAAAGCGUGGGGAGCAAACAGG
This 253-nucleotide ribosomal RNA is filed under the name uncultured bacterium. RNAcentral describes it as "partial 16S ribosomal RNA". It matches the Rfam family "Bacterial small subunit ribosomal RNA", at positions 524 to 776 of the family's 1533-position model. The record is from RNAcentral.